RNAcentral lists this transfer RNA (91 nucleotides) under Streptococcus downei F0415. Its description in RNAcentral is "tRNA-Phe". Lineage: Bacteria; Bacillati; Bacillota; Bacilli; Lactobacillales; Streptococcaceae. The record is from RNAcentral.
GUGUUAACUAGCACAACGGGUGGGAAAGUAUUAAAAUUACUACAGCAGCAGCUGCAGCUGCUGCCGUUGGGUUCCAACCCAAACUAACACA